RNAcentral lists this ribosomal RNA (253 nucleotides) under uncultured bacterium. Its description in RNAcentral is "partial 16S ribosomal RNA". It matches the Rfam family "Bacterial small subunit ribosomal RNA", at positions 524 to 776 of the family's 1533-position model. The record is from RNAcentral.
UACGGAGGGUGCAAGCGUUAAUCGGAAUUACUGGGCGUAAAGCGUGCGCAGGCGGUUUGUUAAGUCCGUUGUGAAAGCCCCGAGCUCAACUUGGGAAUUGCAGUGGAUACUGGCAGGCUGGAGUACGGUAGAGGAAGGUGGAAUUCCCGGUGUAGCAGUGAAAUGCGUAGAUAUCGGGAGGAACACCAGUGGCGAAGGCGGCCUUCUGGACCAGUACUGACGCUCAUGCACGAAAGCGUGGGGAGCAAACGGG